Molecule: ribosomal RNA, 497 nt
Filed under: uncultured bacterium
Lineage: Bacteria
Description: partial 16S ribosomal RNA
Rfam family: Bacterial small subunit ribosomal RNA
Source: RNAcentral
GAUGAACGCUGGCGGCGUGCCUAAUACAUGCAAGUCGAGCGAACAGAUGAGGAGCUUGCUCCUCUGACGUUAGCGGCGGACGGGUGAGUAACACGUGGAUAACCUACCUAUAAGACUGGGAUAACUUCGGGAAACCGGAGCUAAUUCCGGAUAAUAUAUUGAACCGCAUUGUUCAAUAGUGAAAGACGGUUUUGCUGUCACUUAUAGAUGGAUCCGCGCCGCAUUAGCUAGUUGGUAAGGUAACGGCUUACCACGGCAACGAUGCGUAGCCGACCUGAGAGGGUGAUGGGCCACACUGGAACUGAGACACGGUCCAGACUCCUACGGGAGGCAGCAGUAGGGAAUCUUCCGCAAAGGGCGAAAGCCUGACGGAGCAACGCCGCGUGAGUGAUGAAGGUCUUCGGAUCGUAAAACUCUGUUAUUAGGGAAGAACAAAUGUGUAAGUAACUAUGCACGUCUUGACGGUACCUAAUCAGAAAGCCACGGCUAACUACGUG